CUCAGAGAUCCUCCUGCCUCAGCCUCCCGAGUGCUGGGAUCACCGGUGUGCUUCACACACCUGCCCGGGAGGAAGCCUGACUUUGAGCCCGAGAAGGACGAGCCCCUGAGAUGGAAGGAGAGCUCAGCGAGGGUUGGCUCACUCCAGGCUGGGGCGUCCUACACAGCCCCAUCCUCCUCAGGGGUGGGAGGCUGGGACAGGCCGCAGCCCCUGGCACCGCUCAGAGGCAGGGAGGGCCCUGAGUCCACUUACUCAGAUUUCCCGUCCCUCUGCGGCCCGGAAACCCAGAGUGACGUGGCAGGUGGUGGCAGCUCUGCGACACCGGCCUCCUCCCAGGACCCCAGUCCAGUUGCUUCCAAAGCCCAUGAGUGCAGGAGUCUCGGGACAUCGGGACGGGAACCAGUCCUGAGCCAGCUCCUGGGCCACACCAGCUGGCCAGGGCAGCAGCCAUGGGAGGGGACAGGUGGGGCCACAGGACAGCGACUCGGGAGCCUGGUGCCUGGGGCUGGGCCCGCUUGACCCCAGUAGCCGAGCCGGGCUUGGCUCCAUCAGCGCCCUGGGCUCCAUCCCUCCAUCCCGGGCAACAGGGUCGGGGCCAGAGGGAACUGCAGGGCACCGAGGGUGGAAAAAGCCAGGAUGGGGCUGAAGGUCCCUAAGUUUGGAGGAGGAGCAGUGGCCUGCAGAUGGGAGCACUUUAAGACCUGGGUUUGUUAGGUUUUCUCUCAAAUCCCUUUUGAUGCCCACAGUCUGAGAAACAAACGUGAGGGGGUGGAUGGUGCGUGAACCUCCUCGUUUCCAACCCGCUGAGCGCCAGCCCUGAUCCGGCCCUGUUCCCCAUGGAGCCCUCGAGGGUCUGCUGCGGAGCCCAGGCUGGACUGACCUCGUGGAGAUCCUCCUGCCUCAGCCUCCUGAGCGUGGGGGUUCUAGGUGUGAAGCACUGUGGUCAACUUGGACCUCUGUAUCUUUCAAAAAUUUUUUAUAUGAAUUUCACUGACGCCAAAAUUAGAGCGUGGGCUGUAGGAGCCAGGGAAGAUGAGAGUCUCUGGAUCACAGAAG
This 1056-nucleotide long non-coding RNA is filed under the name Heterocephalus glaber (naked mole-rat). RNAcentral describes it as "lncRNA (ENSHGLG00000038908.1)". The record is from RNAcentral. Lineage: Eukaryota; Metazoa; Chordata; Mammalia; Rodentia; Bathyergidae.